Molecule: ribosomal RNA, 505 nt
Filed under: uncultured bacterium
Lineage: Bacteria
Description: bacterial SSU rRNA
Rfam family: Bacterial small subunit ribosomal RNA
Source: RNAcentral
AGUGAACGCUGGCGGCAGGCCUAAUACAUGCAAGUCGAACGGCAGCACAGUGGAGCUUGCUCCAUGGGUGGCGAGUGGCGGACGGGUGAGGAAUACAUGGGAAUCUGCCCAGUCGUGGGGAUAACGUAGGGAAACUUACGCUAAUACCGCAUGCGCCCUUCGGGGAAAGCCGGGGACCGUAAGGCCUGGCGCGAUUGGAUGAGCCCAUGUCGGAUUAGCUAGUUGGCGGGGUAACGGCCCACCAAGGCGACGAUCCGUAGCUGGUCUGAGAGGAUGAUCAGCCACACUGGAACUGAGACACGGUCCAGACUCCUACGGGAGGCAGCAGUAGGGAAUAUUGGACAAUGGGCGCAAGCCUGAUCCAGCCAUGCCGCGUGAGUGAAGAAGGCCCUCGGGUUGUAAAGCUCUUUUGUCCGGAAAGAAAAGCACUGGGUUAAUACCCCGGUGUCCUGACGGUACCGGAAGAAUAAGCACCGGCUAACUUCGUGCCAGCAGCCGCGGUAAU